Molecule: long non-coding RNA, 1427 nt
Organism: Gallus gallus (chicken)
Lineage: Eukaryota; Metazoa; Chordata; Aves; Galliformes; Phasianidae
Source: Ensembl
CUCAGCUGUUGCAGCUUCUCCUGGAAGGAGUAGGCCUGCCAGUGGCACAGAGGGAUGUUGAGAGACAUGCAGGCUUAGCAGAGGUGCUUAGUGGGAAGGCUCAAGCCAUGCUUACCUCCUGCCGGCUCUGUUCCUGGGCCUUCUGUUGCUUCUUCAGUUCCCUGUGGAGCUGCUGCCUCUCUUCCUCAUAAUGACAAAGGAGUGGAAGAUUGUGGCCUAUCUUUCUCUGGACUUGGGCCAGCUCUGCCUUCAGGGAUGCCACUUCCUCCACCUGCAUGAAAAAGGCUGGCAGUGGGAGUGGCCAGACAGAGGAAGCUGGAGCUGCACUCAGGGCCAGCGCUGUGGGCUCUGUCCCUCUGCAGCUCAGGCAGGGGGAGCUGCAUGGCAGCUGGCUGCAUCGUGUGGCUGCCCUGUUUCUGCCGUCACCUGUUGCAGCAGCUCUGCUAUGUGCUUUCUGCUGGAGGCUGCUUUCUGCUGCAGGUCGUGGAUUGUCUGUCUGUGUCUACUGAGCUGCUCCAUGCUGCCGAGGCACGGAGCGGAGCUGUGCUUGGUGCCAUGCCCUGGGAUGGCUGCGUCCCGGCAGGGCUCGCGGAGCUUCACAGUGCUGCCAGAGGAGGGAUCGACUGCAUCGACAGCAGCUGCUGCUCCGUGCUUCUGUCCAAAAAGGUAAAAGUAACAGGAACAAGUUGUUGGAAAUUAAAUUUCAAUUUCUCCACGCCCUUCCCUGUCUACGUGGCUUCCCGGCAUGGAUCAAUAGUGUUUAGACAGCCAGGGAGAUUUUUUUUCCCCUUUUAAAGCAUCAGAUCAAUAGUGGGAAAAAACACAGCACUGAUCCCUCUGCUGCAUGAGCUGUGGUACCCACACAGAUUGGGCCCGGCAGCCCGGCAGCGCAGUGCCCACAGCACAGGGGGUCUGGCAGAGCCACUGGGAGAAAUGGGGUCUGAGGGGGCUGAGUGCAGCCCUAACACUGCUCAGAGGCUCAGGAGUAGAUGUGGUGCCCGUGGGUGUGGGAAGGCCUGGAGGAGCUGACCUGGUACAGAUGAGCUCCCGACCCCCACCUGCCAUGCCCUCACCACACUCUGCAGUUCCAUGGGUGGUGUUUCAGCUGGGAAUUGGCACUGCUGUGCAGAACUGCUAUGCUGAAUUUAGCCUUACUUUCUGCCAGAGCAAGGGAACAGCAUUUCCCAGCAGCACCGCACUGUGCUGAGCCAUGCCAAGUCGUGCCAGGCUGCCUGCCCUCGCCUGCUGCUGGGAGAAUGCGGGGCUGAAGCAGUUGCUCCGCUGGGUGAGCCAGCACCGCAUGCCGAGCAGCACUGGGGUUGGAGCCGUCUCACUUUAAUUACUGCCGCAAUGUUAUUCUUUUCAGUGCCACGUUAAUUGAAAUUAAACAGCUGCCACAUUCUGGCUGGGACAAAAGUGAAUCCAUU